UUUUGUUGUUUGUUUUUACCCCAAUUUCUUGUGGCAUAUAACAUUUUAGAACACCUUCUUUUGCCAUUUCUUUUGAUUUUUGGCAUUUCAACACUUGCCAAUUUUUCAACUUUUGUAUUUUCUUUUGAACGUUUUCAAAGUCACCCCAAUUAGUAACGAGGGUGGCUUAUAUUUGAAGCAUAGGAGUUUUUAUUUUUUUUACUCCUCUUUUCUUUUGAUGCAAUUUGCAAACUUUUUCUUUUCUUUUCUUGAACUCAAAUUUGAACAAUUUCUUUUGUGCCCAUUCCCUUUUUAUGACAAAAUAUAUGGUAGAACAUGGAUGAAUGAUGGUUGCAUGGUUUCAAGGGUCACCUUGGAAUAAACGGUAGCCAAUGAGUUAUCACACCACAAGGUACGCUUGACUAGGCCUUAAUCCAUGGGUCAAAGGAUACUAGCAUGACACAUCCUAGGGUGUUUUACAAGUAUUCUAAUGAGCAAAGUCUUACGAAGAAAAAGUAUCUACAAGGGCCUUAUAUACACUUGUCAAGCUUCCAAAUAGAUGUUUUCACAAAUUUUUUUCCUAAAUGCAACUAUAUGCCAUGAUGGAAUUAGCAUUUAUACAACCUAAUGCAUAUGCUUCUACCAACUAGUAUGCCAAAUAAUCUAAAUGCAAUCCUAUAAUCACAUUGUUUAUACCACAUCAAUCAAAAUAAAGCCACAUAGUCAUGAACAUAAAGAGUUAAAAAGGAGAUUGGAAAGGUCAUACCAUGCGGUCUUCAAUAUCCUCAUGUCUCGGAUGUGGCAUAGUCGAUCAAUUUGAAGAAGGAUAAACAAAUAAGCAAACAAACAACUAUAUACAAUAUAUACAAUUAUAAACUAUAAAGGAAAUGAUCAUGUUUUUGGGUUUUUGCAUUUUUCAAAUUUUUAUGGUUUUUUUUGUUUAUGAAAUAAAAAGACAUGUUUUUGUAUUUUUUCAAAUAAUUUCAAUUUAUCAUUUUUGUUUUAAAAGUCAUGUUAGAAUUUUCCAUCCCCACACAAGUAUGGGCAUUGUCCUCAAUGGCCAAUACGAUAGGAAAUUAUGCAAGCUAUAUGAAAAUGCAUGAUUUCUAUACUAAAUGCAAACUAUAUGACAUAUAAACAAGUGAAUGCAUUCUAAACUAUACUAUAUGAUGCAUGAAUUUGUUUGGUUGGAGAGCAUAAUUUGAAUUAACUCCUAAUGCUUAUGUUUGAACUUCCUCUAACCAAAUGAGACACUAUUGCUAAUGUAAAAAAUAAGAAAGUUCAUGCACAAGAAUGCUGUGCAUGAAACUAAAUUUGUCAUUUUGGAUUUUACAUGUGGGAACAAUUAAUUUAACACCACCCAAAUGUUGCCUAGGUGGAAUAGUAGUCCUUCUUUUUAUGAGGACACCCA
Molecule: unclassified non-coding RNA, 1390 nt
Filed under: Silene latifolia
Lineage: Eukaryota; Viridiplantae; Streptophyta; Magnoliopsida; Caryophyllales; Caryophyllaceae
Description: CCLS96.1_A
Source: RNAcentral